GGCUUGAUAGCGCAGUGGUAGCAUGCCCCACAGUUGUUUGCCCCAAUGUUUGACCAUUCCAGAGAGACCCAGAGUUUGAUCCUCUGUCAAGCCA
Non-coding RNA from Mycena latifolia, 94 nucleotides. Lineage: Eukaryota; Fungi; Basidiomycota; Agaricomycetes; Agaricales; Mycenaceae. The record is from the annotation of a GenBank genome assembly.